This is a long non-coding RNA of Sipha flava (yellow sugarcane aphid), 2630 nucleotides long. RefSeq lists it as uncharacterized. The record is from RefSeq and is a predicted model, not a curated record. The transcript is spliced from 5 exons. Lineage: Eukaryota; Metazoa; Arthropoda; Insecta; Hemiptera; Aphididae.
UGCGCGUACGUUUCGUGUUGGGUACACAACGACGCGCGAGACCGCUACCCCGGUACUGGUCGUCAUCGGGAAAUCUCCGGUCGUUCCGACGACCGCUGUGCACGCGGUAUCCGGGUGGCCGCGAGUACCGUUGGCGAUGGCGGUGAGUGUCCCAAGUCGUCUUCCGUCGCCUCCCGGCGGCCCCGCCUGACCGUUCCGUCGGUAAUGAAACUGCGAAAAUGACACGUCGACAACCGUCGCGCGACCAUCGAGACGCAGUCGGUACGGACCGGGCGGAGUGGUAAAAGAAUUCGUGGUACACGGGUUUGAACCUGCGAACGUCGGUCGAACAUGGUGGACGGAGCGGUUCGGUGCCUGCGUGAACCUGCUUCGCACAGUGACGCAGAUCACCGCGAACGCGUCAAUCGGUUUUUCGUAUUUCACGUUAUUUAUCACCAGCGUAACGUCGCAAUGGAAGCGAAAUCAUUCGAAGCCGUUCGUCCGCACAAAAUAUCGUAAGCCGAUUGCACGAAAUCGAAGUUAGAAAACGGUGGACAGGAUUGCUGAUGACCUCGAACAGAACAAUGAUUACGGCGAGUAGAUAAACACUUCGAUUAAGGCGGAAGGCCCGCGAAACAAAUCAAGACCAGUUACACGACUUGUCCGGUGUAGGUUAUAUACUGCGAUGAUACAGGCACGUGGAUAUUAAUAGAGUGUAAAAUAUCUUUCGUCAUGACCAUCAACAUCGCGCUCGGUAUGCAUAAUACCUCUAUUACAAUCACACAUCCGAUGGAACGAACAUUUUAAGUGCACGCCUAUCUUGCUGAAUCCUAUGCACUGUAAUUUCGCAUUUAAAGCGAACGUAUAUAAUUAUAAAACAUAAAUCUUUGACUUCCGGGAAACUCAGCCAACGUUGAAUAAGGAAGUAAGACCACAGUGCGUGAUUUGAACCACAGUUAUCAGUAAUUAUGCACUUAAACCUGCAAAAUUGGGACGACAUUUGAAGACAGUCCACCCAAAUGUUAGAAAUCGUUUUCGAGAAUUCUUUAAAGGUAAGAAGGAAAACUUUAAAAAAAUGAAACUUGGGACAAGUGGUAUAAGAUUUAAAACCUCUGAAAGAGUGCUUCAUGCCUCAUAUGAGAUCUCUCUAUUAAUUGCAAAAUCUAAAAAACCUCGUACGAUUGGUGAAACUUUGGUUAAACAGUGUUUGUUGAAAGCCACCAAUGUGAUUAUAGGUAAGGAAGCAGCAAAAAAGAAAUACAAGACAUUCCUUUAUCAAAUAACACGGUAAAAUCACGAAUAGAAAAUAUGUCACAAAACAUUGAAGAAUAGCUUAUAUAUCUCAUAAAAAAAUUUCUCUGGUUUGCUCUUCAGUGUGACAAAAGUACAGAUGUUGCAUAUUGUUGUCAAUUGCUAAUCUUUGUUCGAUUUUUAAGUGAAGAUAGUACAAUCAAAGAAGAAUUAUAAUUAUCACAAGUAUUAGAAACUACGUUAAAAGGGAUUGACGUUAUGAAAAUAAUUCUUGAUUUUGAAAAACAAACUAAUGUGGGAAUAUCUUGUUGGAUUUUGUACCGAUGGCGCCCCUGCUAUGCUCGGGUCACGUUCAGGUUUAGCUACAUUGGUAAAACAAAAAAAUCCAACCACAUAAACAGCGCACUGUAUUAUACAUCGUCAAGCGUUGGCGUCCAAAACAUUACUAAAAGACUUAGCUUUUGCAAUGAAAAUAUCCAGACAGUUAGUCAAUGCUGUUAAAAAUAGUACACUCAAUACAAGUUUUUCAAAAAUUAUGUGCAAAUAUGGACGCUGAGCAUGAAACAUUACUAUUUCAUACUGAAACAAGAUGGCUUUCAAAAGGAAAUAUGCUGGCAUGUUUAUUUGAGUUUCGAGAGGAGUUGAAGGGUUUUUUUAAUUGAUAAAGGUAUAAAAUAAUUACAUGAGCAAAUUUCUGAGCCAAAAAUUGAAAUGCAAAUUUCAUAUGUUGCAGAUAUAUUUGCUCAUUUAAAUUUAAAUUUGCAACUGCAAGGUUCUGGUAGUGUUAAACUUGAAGGUUCUGCAAAUAUUUUCGUAUUUGAAGAUAAAGUUCGCGCUUUUUUCUGUAAAAUAAAUCUUCGGAUUGACAAAACUCAAAUAAAAAAUUAUUACGCAUUUCCUACACUGCGAAUUCUUAUUGAUGACGAACACUAAAAAUGUUUUACUGAAGAUAUUCAAAAUAAAAUAUUAGAACACUUACGAAUCCUUAAAGAGGAAUUUACCAGAUACUUUUCAGAAUAUGGUGUAAGAGACACUGAUGCUUUUAAGAAGUUAAUUCAUAAUCUUUUCACUGUCGAAGUCAAGAACGUUCAAAAGGAAAUGCAAUAAUUAUUAGAGCUUCAGAAUGACAACACCUUUAAAAGUUAAUUUGAAUAUAAUACAAACUUAGAAGAGUUUUGGUGUAAAAAGGCUAAGGGGAUAUCAAUCCAAAUGUUCGGCAAACAGCAUUGCAUUUCCUCGUGGUUUUUUCAAUAUGUAUUUAAAUAUGUAUAUAUGCGAGCAAGAAUUUUCUUCACUACUUACUAUAAAAAAUAAAUAACGAAAUCGUCUAAAUCCAAGUGCUAAUAUGCGACUUGUACUGAGCAACAGCAUCGUUCCAAGAAUUUCACGACUGGUAAAAG